RNAcentral lists this small RNA (419 nucleotides) under Pan troglodytes (chimpanzee). RNAcentral describes it as "retained intron". The record is from RNAcentral. Lineage: Eukaryota; Metazoa; Chordata; Mammalia; Primates; Hominidae.
GCCCUGAGUGCACACACAUGUUCAUGCAGGUUUGAAAAGAUGAUCAGCGGCAUGUACCUGGGGGAGAUCGUCCGCCACAUCCUUUUACAUUUAACCAGCCUUGGCGUUCUCUUCCGGGGCCAGCAGAUCCAGCGCCUUCAGACCAGGGACAUCUUCAAGACCAAGUUCCUCUCUGAGAUCGAAAGUGACAGCCUGGCCCUGCGGCAGGUCCGAGCCAUCCUAGAGGAUCUGGGGCUACCCCUGACCUCAGAUGACGCCCUGAUGGUGCUAGAGGUGUGCCAGGCUGUGUCCCAGCGGGCUGCCCAGCUCUGUGGGGCGGGUGUAGCUGCCGUGGUGGAGAAGAUCCGGGAGAACCGGGGCCUGGAAGAGCUGGCAGUGUCUGUGGGGGUGGAUGGAACGCUCUACAAGCUGCACCCGCA